UUACGACCAUAUCACAUUGAAACGCCGUUUCUCGUACGAACGCUAAAGUUAAGCAACGACGAGGCUGUUCAGUACUUAAAUAAGUGAACGCUUGUAAAUACCAGAUGCUGUAAG
Molecule: non-coding RNA, 114 nt
Organism: Acanthosepion pharaonis
Lineage: Eukaryota; Metazoa; Mollusca; Cephalopoda; Sepiida; Sepiidae
Source: the annotation of a GenBank genome assembly